Non-coding RNA from Aedes albopictus (Asian tiger mosquito), 58 nucleotides. The record is from Rfam. NCBI's taxonomy places the organism in Eukaryota, Metazoa, Arthropoda, Insecta, Diptera, Culicidae.
UAGCCUAGUGGCUAAGGCUAUGGAUCGCCAAUCCGGAGAUGGCGGGUUCGAUUCCCGU